CCUACGGGUGGCAGCAGUGAGGAAUAUUGGUCAAUGGGCGUAAGCCUGAACCAGCCAAGUCGCGUGAGGGAUGAAGGUUCUAUGGAUCGUAAACCUCUUUUAUAAGGGAAUAAAGUGCGGGACGUGACCCGUUUUGUAUGUACCUUAUGAAUAAGGAUCGGCUAACUCCGUGCCAGCAGCCGCGGUAAUACGGAGGAUCCGAGCGUUAUCCGGAAUCAGUGGGCGUAAAGGGGGAGCAGGCGGCCUGGAGGGUCUAUUGUUAAAAGGCAAUGGCUAAACCAAUGUAAGGCGUAGAAACCGGCAGGCUAGAGUUCUAAAGAGGUACGUGGAAUUCCAUGUGUAGCGGUGAAAUGCGUAGAUAUAUGGAGGAACACCAGUGGCGAAGGCGACGAUCUGGGAAGAAACAGACGCUGAGUCCCGAAAGCGUGGGGAGCAAAUAGGAUUAGAUACCCGAGUAGUC
This 460-nucleotide ribosomal RNA is filed under the name uncultured bacterium. RNAcentral's name for it is "partial 16S ribosomal RNA". It matches the Rfam family "Bacterial small subunit ribosomal RNA", at positions 338 to 795 of the family's 1533-position model. The record is from RNAcentral.